CCUACGGGUGGCAGCAGUGGGGAAUAUUGGGCAAUGGGCGACAGCCUGACCCAGCAACGCCGCGUGAAGGAAGAAGGCUUUCGGGUUGUAAAAUUCUUUUGACAGGGAAGAGCAGAAGACGGUACCUGUCGAAUAAGCCACGGCUAACUACGUGCCAGCAGCCGCGGUAAUCCGUAGGUGGCAAGCGUUGUCCGGAUUUACUGGGUGUACAGGGCGUGUAGCCGGGCUGACAAGUCAGAGGGGAAAUCCGGGGGCUCAACCCCCGCACUGAAGUUGAGACUGGUGGUCUUGAGUAUCAGAGAGGCAUGCGGAAUGCGUAGUGUAGCGGUGAAAUGCGUAGAUAUUAGGAAGAACACCAAUGGCGAAGGCAGCAUGCUGGACUACAACUGACGGUGAGGCGCGAAAGCGUGGGGAGCAAACAGGAUUAGAUACCCUUGUAGUC
RNAcentral lists this ribosomal RNA (442 nucleotides) under uncultured bacterium. RNAcentral's name for it is "partial 16S ribosomal RNA". It matches the Rfam family "Bacterial small subunit ribosomal RNA", at positions 338 to 795 of the family's 1533-position model. The record is from RNAcentral.